UGCGUAGGUGGCCGAUUAAGUCAGUGGUGAAAGCCUACAGCUCAACUGUAGAGGUGCCAUUGAUACUGGUCGGCUUGAGUAUGGACGAGGUAGGCGGAAUUUGUGGUGUAGCGGUGAAAUGCAUAGAUACCACAAAGAACACCAAUAGCGAAGGCAGCUUACUGGACCAUAACUGACGCUGAGGCACGAAAGCGUGGGGAGCGAACAGGAUUAGAUACCCUGGUAGUCC
Molecule: ribosomal RNA, 229 nt
Filed under: uncultured bacterium
Lineage: Bacteria
Description: partial 16S ribosomal RNA
Rfam family: Bacterial small subunit ribosomal RNA
Source: RNAcentral